AAUACGUUCCCGGGCCUUGUACACACCGCCCGUCACACCACGAAAGCCUGUCAAACCAGAAGUCAUGGGGUCUACUCAUGCCGAAGGUUGGGCCGGUAAUUGGGGUG
This 107-nucleotide ribosomal RNA is filed under the name uncultured bacterium. RNAcentral describes it as "partial 16S ribosomal RNA". It matches the Rfam family "Bacterial small subunit ribosomal RNA", at positions 1365 to 1482 of the family's 1533-position model. The record is from RNAcentral.